Molecule: ribosomal RNA, 492 nt
Filed under: uncultured bacterium
Lineage: Bacteria
Description: partial 16S ribosomal RNA
Rfam family: Bacterial small subunit ribosomal RNA
Source: RNAcentral
AGUGAACGCUGGCGGUAGGCCUAACACAUGCAAGUCGAACGGCAGCACAGUAAGAGCUUGCUCUUACGGGUGGCGAGUGGCGGACGGGUGAGGUAUACAUCGGAAUCUACUUUUUCGUGGGGGAUAACGUAGGGAAACUUACGCUAAUACCGCAUACGACCUACGGUUGAAAUCAGGGGAUCUUCGGACCUUGCGCGAUUGAAUGAGCCGAUGUCGGAUUAGCUAGUUGGCGGGGUAAAGGCCCACCAAGGCGACGAUCCGUAGCUGGUCUGAGAGGAUGAUCAGCCACACGGGAACUGAGACACGGACCAGACUACUACGGGAGGCAGCAGAGGGGAAUAUUGGACAAUGGGCGCAAGCCUGAUCCAGCCAUACCGCGUGGGUGAAGAAGGCCUUUGGGUUGUAAAGCCCUUUUGUUGGGAAAGAAAAGCAGCAGGUUAAUACCCCGCUGUUCUGACGGUACCCAAAGAAUAAGCACCGGCUAACUUCGUG